This 253-nucleotide ribosomal RNA is filed under the name uncultured bacterium. RNAcentral's name for it is "partial 16S ribosomal RNA". It matches the Rfam family "Bacterial small subunit ribosomal RNA", at positions 524 to 776 of the family's 1533-position model. The record is from RNAcentral.
UACGUAGGGUGCGAGCGUUGUCCGGAAUUACUGGGCGUAAAGAGCUCGUAGGUGGUUUGUCGCGUUGUCCGUGAAAACUCACAACUCAAUUGUGGGCGUGCGGGCGAUACGGGCAGACUGGAGUACUGCAGGGGAGACUGGAAUUCCUGGUGUAGCGGUGGAAUGCGCAGAUAUCAGGAGGAACACCGGUGGCGAAGGCGGGUCUCUGGGCCAUUACUGACGCUGAGGAGCGAAAGCGUGGGGAGCGAACAGG